UGAAUGGUUUUCUUUAAAACCAUAAAUAGAAAGCUAUAAAACCAG
Non-coding RNA from Cicer arietinum (chickpea), 45 nucleotides. NCBI's taxonomy places the organism in Eukaryota, Viridiplantae, Streptophyta, Magnoliopsida, Fabales, Fabaceae. The record is from Rfam.